This 449-nucleotide ribosomal RNA is filed under the name uncultured organism. RNAcentral describes it as "partial 16S ribosomal RNA". It matches the Rfam family "Bacterial small subunit ribosomal RNA", at positions 335 to 800 of the family's 1533-position model. The record is from RNAcentral.
ACUCCUACGGGAGGCAGCAGUGGGGAAUCUUGCGCAAUGGGCGAAAGCCUGACGCAGCCAUGCCGCGUGAAUGAUGAAGGUCUUAGGAUUGUAAAAUUCUUUCACCGGGGACGAUAAUGACGGUACCCGGAGAAGAAGCCCCGGCUAACUUCGUGCCAGCAGCCGCGGUAAUACGAAGGGGGCUAGCGUUGCUCGGAAUUACUGGGCGUAAAGGGAGCGUAGGCGGACAUUUAAGUCAGGGGUGAAAUCCCGGGGCUCAACCUCGGAAUUGCCUUUGAUACUGGGUGUCUUGAGUAUGAGAGAGGUGUGUGGAACUCCGAGUGUAGAGGUGAAAUUCGUAGAUAUUCGGAAGAACACCAGUGGCGAAGGCGACACACUGGCUCAUUACUGACGCUGAGGCUCGAAAGCGUGGGGAGCAAACAGGAUUAGAUACCCUGGUAGUCCCAUGA